RNAcentral lists this ribosomal RNA (625 nucleotides) under Neobidessodes mjobergi. RNAcentral's name for it is "partial 16S ribosomal RNA". It matches the Rfam family "Bacterial large subunit ribosomal RNA", at positions 1828 to 2734 of the family's 2925-position model. Lineage: Eukaryota; Metazoa; Arthropoda; Insecta; Coleoptera; Dytiscidae. The record is from RNAcentral.
GUCCUUUAGAGUAGAAUUUAAGGUUUAACCUGCCCAGUGAUUAUUUAACGGCCGCAGUAUUUUGACUGUGCAAAGGUAGCAUAAUCAUUAGUUUUUUAAUUGAAAGCUUGUAUGAAUGGUUGGACGAGAUAUAUACUGUCUUUAUGUUAUUAAUAGAAUUUAAUUUUUAAGUUAAAAAGCUUAAAUUUAAUUAAAAGACGAGAAGACCCCAUAGAUCUUUAUAUUUAUUUUUAUUUAAUUUUUAAGGAUUAUUAAAUUUUAUAUAGGUUUAAAUAUUUAAUUGGGGUAAUUAAAAGAUUUAGAAAAUUCUUUUUUUAUUUUACAUUGAUAAUUGAAUUUAUUGAUCCAUUAUUAGUGAUUAAAAGAUUAAGUUACCUUGGGGAUAACAGCGUAAUUUUUUUUGAGAGUUCUUAUCGAUAAUAAAGUUUGCGACCUCGAUGUUGGAUUAAAAUUAAUUUUAGGUGUAGAAGUUUAAAGUUUUAGUCUGUUCGACUAUUAAAAUUUUACAUGAUCUGAGUUCAAACCGGUGUAAGCCAGGUUGGUUUCUAUCUUUAUUUAGUUAUAAUAUUUUAGUACGAAAGGACCAAAUAUUAAAUAUAUAAUAUUUAUUUAUUUGAAUGAAAUU